Molecule: ribosomal RNA, 254 nt
Filed under: uncultured bacterium
Lineage: Bacteria
Description: partial 16S ribosomal RNA
Rfam family: Bacterial small subunit ribosomal RNA
Source: RNAcentral
UACGUAGGGGGCGAGCGUUGUCCGGAUUUAUUGGGCGUAAAGAGCUCGUAGGAGGCUUAGAAAGUCGGGUGUGAAAACUCCAGGCUCAACCUGGAGACGCCACUCGAGACUGCUAUGGCUAGAGUCCGGUAGGGGACCACGGAAUUCCUGGUGUAGCGGUGAAAUGCGCAGAUAUCAGGAGGAACACCGGUGGCGAAGGCGGUGGUCUGGGCCGGCACUGACGCUGAGGAGCGAAAGCGUGGGGAGCAAACAGG